RNAcentral lists this small nuclear RNA (95 nucleotides) under Nannospalax galili (Upper Galilee mountains blind mole rat). The record is from RNAcentral. Lineage: Eukaryota; Metazoa; Chordata; Mammalia; Rodentia; Spalacidae.
GCACGCACACACACACAAUUGGAAUGACACAGAGAAGAUUGACAUCAUCCCUGAGCAAGGAUGACAUGCGAAUUCAUAAAGUGUCCCAUAUUUUA